RNAcentral lists this ribosomal RNA (514 nucleotides) under uncultured bacterium. RNAcentral's name for it is "partial 16S ribosomal RNA". It matches the Rfam family "Bacterial small subunit ribosomal RNA", at positions 28 to 523 of the family's 1533-position model. The record is from RNAcentral.
GAUGAACGCUGGCGGCGUGCCUAAUACAUGCAAGUCGAGCGAAUGGAUUAAGAGCUUGCUCUUAUGAAGUUAGCGGCGGACGGGUGAGUAACACGUGGGUAACCUGCCCAUAAGACUGGGAUAACACCGGGAAACCGGGGCUAAUACCGGAUAAUAUUUUGAACUGCAUGGUUCAAAAUUGAAAGGCGGCUUCGGCUGUCACUUAUGGAUGGACACGCGUCGCAUUAGCUAGUUGGUGAGGUAACGGCUCACCAAGGCAACGAUGCGUAGCCGACCUGAGAGGGUGAUCGGCCACACUGGGACUGAGACACGGCCCAGACUCCUACGGGAGGCAGCAGUAGGGAAUCUUCCGCAAUGGACGAAAGUCUGACGGAGCAACGCCGCGUGAGUGAUGAAGGCUCUCGGGUCGUAAAACUCUGUUGUUAGGGAAGAACAAGUGCUAGUUGAAUAAGCUGGCACCUUGACGGUACCUAACCAGAAAGCCACGGCUAACUACGUGCCAGCCGCCGGGUAA